CUGCCAUCCUCGUCCGAGUCCACAAAGCUGCUGGACUCAAGCUCGCUGCUGAGGGCGGUGGACGCGCUGUCUGGGGGCAGCCCCACAUCCCGCCGUCGGUCUCCCCUUGGGUGCCCAUUGGUCCGGGCGGCCUCCUCGCGGUUCCGGCGUCGGGCACGCUCCCGCCGGUGACUGACCAUGGACUCCGUGCCUGUCUCGUUGUCCAUCCCGUCACGGCUGCUGGCCACAUUUGGGUGGAAGGAGGGGGGCCGGGAGUCCCCGAUGCCGCCUGUCCGCUCAAGAGGCGGGGGCAGGUCUGUGUGGCUGUCCGUGCCCUGGGACCCCGCAUCCGAGUGAGCACCCUCAGCCAGGACCAGCCAGGAGACCACGCGGCCGUUGAAGCAGGGAAGCUUGGCAUUGUCAUCAAAGAUCUCCUCCUUCACCACCCCGAAGUCCUGGUCCAUGGACUUAAAGAAGAAUUUGUAGGCGUGCACGGGCCGGUUGCUGAGCACGUUCUUGAAGUCGGCCAGCGUGACGCGCUCGGGGGCCACGGGCAGCUUGACCAGGUACGGCGUCU
This 556-nucleotide long non-coding RNA is filed under the name Homo sapiens (human). Its description in RNAcentral is "LNC_000032". The record is from RNAcentral. Lineage: Eukaryota; Metazoa; Chordata; Mammalia; Primates; Hominidae.